Non-coding RNA from Lipotes vexillifer (Yangtze River dolphin), 72 nucleotides. The record is from the annotation of a RefSeq genome assembly. Lineage: Eukaryota; Metazoa; Chordata; Mammalia; Artiodactyla; Lipotidae.
UCCCCGGUGGUCCAGUGGUUAGGGCUCAGCGCUUUCACUGCCAAGGCCCAGGUUCGAUCCCUGGUCGGGGAA